RNAcentral lists this ribosomal RNA (483 nucleotides) under uncultured bacterium. RNAcentral describes it as "bacterial SSU rRNA". It matches the Rfam family "Bacterial small subunit ribosomal RNA", at positions 32 to 524 of the family's 1533-position model. The record is from RNAcentral.
AAUCAACGCUGGCGGCGUGCCUCAGACAUGCAAGUCGAACGAUUAAAGCUCUCUUCGGAGAGUGUAUAGAGUGGCGCACGGGUGAGUAACACGUAAGUAAUCUACCUUUGAGUGGGGAAUAACCCGGGGAAACCCGAGCUAAUACCGCAUAAUGCAGCGGCAUCGCAAGAUGACAGUUGUUAAAGGAGCAAUCCGCUUAAAGAGGAGCUUGCGGCAGAUUAGCUAGUUGGUAAGGUAAUGGCUUACCAAGGCUACGAUCUGUAUCCGGUCUAAGAGGACGGUCGGACACACUGACACUGAAUAACGGGUCAGACUCCUACGGAGGCAGCAGUCGGGAAUUUUGGGCAAUGGGCGAAAGCCUGACCCAGCAACGCCGCGUGAAGGAUGAAGUAUUUCGGUAUGUAAACUUCGAAAGAAUAGGAAGAAUAAAUGACGGUACUAUUUAUAAGGUCCGGCUAACUACGUGCCAGCCGCCGCCGUAAC